Molecule: ribosomal RNA, 525 nt
Filed under: Salmonella enterica subsp. enterica serovar Enteritidis
Lineage: Bacteria; Pseudomonadati; Pseudomonadota; Gammaproteobacteria; Enterobacterales; Enterobacteriaceae
Description: partial 23S ribosomal RNA
Rfam family: Bacterial large subunit ribosomal RNA (bases 1-366)
Source: RNAcentral
AAUCCAUAGGUUAAUGAGGCGAACCGGGGGAACUGAAACAUCUAAGUACCCCGAGGAAAAGAAAUCAACCGAGAUUCCCCCAGUAGCGGCGAGCGAACGGGGAGGAGCCCAGAGCCUGAAUCAGCAUGUGUGUUAGUGGAAGCGUCUGGAAAGGCGCGCGAUACAGGGUGACAGCCCCGUACACAAAAGCGCAUGUGCUGUGAGCUCGAUGAGUAGGGCGGGACACGUGGUAUCCUGUCUGAAUAUGGGGGGACCAUCCUCCAAGGCUAAAUACUCCUGACUGACCGAUAGUGAACCAGUACCGUGAGGGAAAGGCGAAAAGAACCCCGGCGAGGGGAGUGAAAAAGAACCUGAAACCGUGUACGUACAAGCAGUGGGAGCCCCACCACCAAAGCAUUUGCUGUACCGCGUUGACGGAGCGAAGCGACGUCAAACCGAUAAAACAGCAGUGUAAAGUGAGCCGCAGGGCGCUUUGCGCGACAGCGCAAAGGCAGGCGGUUUCGCGUAGCGAAAGCGAAUGCUUUG